AAAAAAAAAAGAAACAAUCAGGUUGAUAAAAUAAUAAAUAACGAUACCAUCUCCCUUAUUCCGGGAUAUAGGGAAAGCCUUCAAUGAGUAUUAUGGUAAUUUAUAUAGCCUUUCGAAAACUACUGCUCCCCAAAUAAUAAAAGAUUAUAUUAAAUCAGCCAAAUAGAAUAAAAUAACAGAAAUUCAAGCGAAUAAUUUAAAUAAAGAGAUCCCGAAGGAAGAGAUUAACAGAGCAAUAGACAGGCUAGAAAAUUAUAAAACUCCAGGUCCGGACGGUUUGGGGAAUAAAUUUUACAAAGAAAUGAAAACUCAAUUAGCAGGUUACCUAAAAAAGACUUUUAAUACGGCAGUUAAAAAAGGCAGAUUUCCAAAUGAAAUGCUAAAAGCAAACAUUCUUCCCAUACUGAAACCGGGGAAAGAUUUGGCCAAAACUAACUAAAAUCGAACAAUUCUUAAUUAUACAUUGUUUAAUGGCUUGUAAAAUAGUGAUGGCGAGAAACUGGAAGGGAGACAAUCCCUUUUCCAUUAAACAAAUAGUUUCACAACUGGUUUACCAACUUACAAUGGAGAAGGACCACUGCAAAAGUCUGAAUAACAACUCGAGCCUUUGGGACAGUUGGGAUAAUAAAUUGCGAAAAAUGUAAUAAUACCAAGUGUGAUAACGGGAUGGUUAGUUUUGAGAUCUCUCGUAGGGUGUUGGGAUUGUUUGUCUGUGUAUAUGAAUGUCUUGCAACUUUUUGUAAAAUGUAAUUUGUUAAAAAACUUAAGACAAAAAAAAAAAAAAAGGAAUAUUCCUGAUAUUGUUACGAACGAUCAAGUUGGAUUUGCAUUGAAUAGGCAGGCCACAGACAGAACUAGAAGGUUCAUCAAUAUUAUUAACUAGAUUAGGAUUAUGGGAUGCCUUCUCUGCUUCUAUCUUUAAUGGCGGCAUUUGAUAGAAUACACUGG
This is a non-coding RNA of Pelobates cultripes (western spadefoot toad), 948 nucleotides long. The record is from the annotation of a GenBank genome assembly. Lineage: Eukaryota; Metazoa; Chordata; Amphibia; Anura; Pelobatidae.